UUUGCUGAUGCAAGUUUGAAUCUUAGACCAAGCCAAAUAAGGAGUUGUUUAUUCCAGAGAGCGAUCACCUUCGGGAUGGUGGAAGGCUGAAACUGGCACCAUCUUCUGGUGAGGCGCAUCACAGCUCUCCACAAUCUAAAGCGGAUGGUGUCCAGCCCUGUCCUGAGUCAUACAGAGUGACACAUUGAAUUGAUUCUAUCCCCGCCUCUGUGGAAGGAAUCACUGUCUCACCAAGGCCUACGACUGAACCUGAUGCUUCUGAGGUCUGCGGGCUUGUCUUGAAGGCACGAGCUGCACCACACCCUCUCUGCCAUGGUGGACUGAAAUGUCUGAAAUGUUGGGGAAUGAGUUCCAGGUCUGGGAGCCCUGGUUAGGAUCCUGCCUCUUUGGGAAAUGGCAGAUCAAUGUGUCCUCAUUCAGAGAGAAGGUGAAAACACUGGGACAAAUUUAUACUUCAGAAACCAUUCUUCUGCAUGUUUAAUGCAAAGCCAGGCUUGAUGGUGCAUGUCUGUAAUCCCAGUGCUGGAGAAACUGAAGUGGGAAGAUUGCAAACUCAAGACCAAUCUGUCCAAAAAAACAGAGAUUGACAAAAUAAUUCAUAUGCUUAAUUCAAGUAUUAACUUCCCUCUUUUGUAUAUGACAUAUAUAGAGUUUUUAAUCAACUGGAUAUCAAAUAUCCUUUGUUGUCUGUUGAUAAAUGUUGUUCAUAUUUAUAAAGAAAUGUGAUGAGAGUG
RNAcentral lists this long non-coding RNA (734 nucleotides) under Cricetulus griseus (Chinese hamster). RNAcentral describes it as "lncRNA (ENSCGRG00015036622.1)". Lineage: Eukaryota; Metazoa; Chordata; Mammalia; Rodentia; Cricetidae. The record is from RNAcentral.